GACGAGGGAUCCUAGCGUUAUCCGGAAUUAUUGGGCGUAAAGAGCUCGUAGGCGGUUUGUCGCGUCUGCCGUGAAAGUCCGGGGCUCAACUCCGGAUCUGCGGUGGGUACGGGCAGACUUGAGUGAUGUAGGGGAGACUGGAAUUCCUGGUGUAGCGGUGAAAUGCGCAGAUAUCAGGAGGAACACCGAUGGCGAAGGCAGGUCUCUGGGCAUUAACUGACGCUGAGGAGCGAAAGCAUGGGGAGCGAACAGG
RNAcentral lists this unclassified non-coding RNA (253 nucleotides) under uncultured Micrococcaceae bacterium. Its description in RNAcentral is "contains 16S-23S intergenic spacer region". It matches the Rfam family "Bacterial small subunit ribosomal RNA", at positions 524 to 776 of the family's 1533-position model. The record is from RNAcentral. Lineage: Bacteria; Bacillati; Actinomycetota; Actinomycetes; Micrococcales; Micrococcaceae.